RNAcentral lists this ribosomal RNA (215 nucleotides) under uncultured bacterium. RNAcentral's name for it is "partial 16S ribosomal RNA". It matches the Rfam family "Bacterial small subunit ribosomal RNA", at positions 1286 to 1500 of the family's 1533-position model. The record is from RNAcentral.
UCCCAGUUCGGAUCGCAGGCUGCAACCCGCCUGCGUGAAGUCGGAAUCGCUAGUAAUCGCGGAUCAGCAUGCCGCGGUGAAUACGUUCCCGGGCCUUGUACACACCGCCCGUCACACCAUGAGAGUCGGGAACACCCGAAGUCCGUAGCCUAACCGAAAGGGGGGCGCGGCCGAAGGUGGGUUCGAUAAUUGGGGUGAAGUCGUAACAAGGUAUC